GAUGAAGAACGUAGCGAAAUGCGAUAAGUAAUGUGAAUUGCAGAAUUCAGUGAAUCAUCGAAUCUUUGAACGCACAUUGCGCCCGCCAGUAUUCUGGCGGGCAUGCCUGUUCGAGCGUCAUUACAACCCUCAGGCCCCCGGGCCUGGCGUUGGGGAUCGGCGGAAGCCCCCUGCGGGCACAACGCCGUCCCCCAAAUACAGUGGCGGUCCCGCCGCAGCUUCCAUUGCGUAGUAGCUAACACCUCGCAACUGGAGAGCGGCGCGGCCACGCCGUAAAACACCCAACUUCUGAAUGUUGACCUCGAAUCAGGUAGGAAUACCCGCUGAACUUAAGCAUAUCAUAGCGGAGGA
This 351-nucleotide unclassified non-coding RNA is filed under the name soil metagenome. RNAcentral describes it as "partial contains 5.8S ribosomal RNA, internal transcribed spacer 2, and large subunit ribosomal RNA". The stretch from base 1 to 120 matches the Rfam family "5.8S ribosomal RNA", at positions 35 to 154 of the family's 154-position model. The record is from RNAcentral.